AUGGUGAAGUUCUCGCGGGAGUACGAGGCCAGCGUCAUCCCGGAGUGGAAAGGGGCCUUCGUCGACUACAAGGGACUCAAAAAGCUCAUCAAAAAGAUCAAGCUCGCACAGCGCGACGCCGACGGCAGCAGCUCGGGAGACUCCUCGUCGGAGGAGGCCGCCCUUGCCGCCGGUGUCGAGAGCGUCGGCUAUGGCGGUGGCUUCUCCGUGCUCGACCCCGUCCACGCCCUGGCCUCCCGGUUCUCCUCGGUGCGUGCUUUCACGCGUCAGGCGAUACGAAUAGAUAUAGUUGUUCGUGAUCCGUCUUGGCUGGCUACGUGCGUGCACGGUACUGAUCAUGAUGUGCAUUUUGACAUGCAGGAGGACGAGGAGAGCGGGGAUUCCGGGGAGCUCGUGCCAUCCACGGACAAGCAUGAGCGGGAGUUCCUGGAGAAGGCGGACGAGGAGCUGGAGAAGGUGAACACCUUCUACGCGACGAAGGAGGCGGAGCUGCUGGGCCGCGGCGAGGCGGUCAUCGACCAGCUGCGCAUCCUCGCCGACGUCAAGCGCAUCCUGGCCGAUCACGCCGCCACCCGUCGCGCCAGGGGCACACUCUCCAUGGUGGCACCGUCCUCGCCGGCGCUCAGCGGCUCCGGCCUGGCCACGCAGCAGUCCAUGUCAGAUGGGAGCGCGGAGCUGCAGCAGGCGCAGAUGACGGAGGGCGCGGCGGUGGCGGACGAGGUGAUGGCUGCGCUGGAGCGCAACGGCGUCAGCUUCGUGGGGCUGCCGGCGAAGAAGGACGCCAAGAAGGAGGGCAGCGGCAGGGGCGGGAGGCCGUCGACGGUGCGGAUCGACAUCCCGGCGAGCAACCCAGGGCGGGCGGCGCUCAAGGUGUGGGAGGAGCUGGUGAACGUCCUGCGCAAGGACGGUGCCAGCCCCGCCGCCGCCUUCGUCCACCGGAAGAAGGUGCAGCACGCCGAGAAGAACAUCCGCGACGCCUUCAUGGCGCUCUACCGCGGCCUCGAGCUGCUCAAGAAGUUCAGUUCUCUGAAUGUAAAGGCCUUCACCAAGAUUCUCAAGAAAUUCGUCAAGGUGUCGGGGCAGCAGCGAGCGACAGACCUUUUCUCGCAGAAGGUGAAGGGAUCAUCGUUCAACACCUCCAACAAGGUUCUUCAGCUGUCGGACGAGGUGGAGUCACUCUUCCUGAAGCACUUUGCGGGCAACGACAAGAUGGUGGCGAUGAAGUACCUCAACCCAAAGCAGCCCAAGAGCACGCACAUGGUCACCUUCCUCGUAGGGUUGUUCACGGGCACAUUUGUGAGUCUAUUCAUCAUAUACACCAUCCUGGCACAUGCUUCCGGCAUUUUCGCCUCUGUCGGAGACACGGCCUACCAUGAAGUAGUCUACCAUGUCUUCAGCAUCUUCGCGCUCAUCAGCCUGCACUGCUUCCUCUAUGGAUGCAACCUGUUCAUGUGGAAGAGCACACGGAUCAACCAGAACUUCAUAUUCGACUUCGUGCCCAACACUGCCCUCACGCACCGGGAUGCCUUCCUCAUGUCCGCCUUCAUCAUGUGCACUGUUGUCACCGUGUUGGUCAUCAACCUCUUCCUCAUAAACGCCGGUGUGCCCUACACCAAUGCCGUGCCAGGGGCUCUCAUAGUCUUGUCGGCCGGACUUUUAUUCUGUCCAUUCAACGUGUUCUACCGCUCGACGCGCUACUGCUUCAUGCGCAUCAUGCGCAAAAUCAUAUUCUCGCCAUUCUACAAGGUUGUGAUGGCCGAUUUCUUCAUGGCUGAUCAGUUAACUAGUCAGAUCCCAUUGCUAAGGCACACGGAGUUUGCAGCGUGCUACUUCAUGGCAGGAAGCUUUAGGGCUUACCCAUAUGAGACUUGUACUAAGAACCAGCAGUACAAACACCUGGCCUAUGUGAUCUCUUUUCUCCCUUACUACUGGAGAGCUAUGCAGUGUUUAAGAAGAUACCUGGAGGAACAUGACGUAAAUCAACUCGCCAACGCUGGGAAGUACGUGUCGGCGAUGGUUGCGGCUGCUGUCAGGCUCAAGUACAAAGCAACACCGACGCCAUUCUGGGUGUGGAUGGUCCUCAUAACGUCCACAGGCACCACGGUGUACCAGCUCUACUGGGACUUUGUCAAGGAUUGGGGCUUUUUCACUCCCAAAUCUAAGAACCUAUGGCUUCGAGAUGAUCUCAUCCUUAAGAACAAGUUCACCUACUACGUUUCCAUGAUGCUAAAUCUAGUGCUUCGGCUAUCAUGGACUAAAAGUGUGAUGAAGAUUUCUAUUACCAAGAAUGAGACUCGCCUACUGGAUUUCUCCCGUGCCUCCCUGGAAAUAAUCCGACGAGGACACUGGAAUUUCUACAGGCUGGAGAACGAACACUUGAACAAUGUCGGCAAGUUCAGAGCAGUGAAGACUGUCCCAUUGCCAUUUCAUGAACUCGAAACCGAUUGA
This 2448-nucleotide ribosomal RNA is filed under the name Triticum aestivum (bread wheat). Its description in RNAcentral is "partial small subunit ribosomal RNA". The record is from RNAcentral. Lineage: Eukaryota; Viridiplantae; Streptophyta; Magnoliopsida; Poales; Poaceae.